RNAcentral lists this transfer RNA (72 nucleotides) under Ceratitis capitata (Mediterranean fruit fly). Its description in RNAcentral is "tRNA-Asn". It matches the Rfam family "tRNA". Rfam says of the family: Transfer RNA (tRNA) molecules are approximately 80 nucleotides in length. Their secondary structure includes four short double-helical elements and three loops (D, anti-codon, and T loops). Lineage: Eukaryota; Metazoa; Arthropoda; Insecta; Diptera; Tephritidae. The record is from RNAcentral.
UAUAUGUUGGCGCAGUGGUAGGGCACUACCCUGUUAAGGCAGGAUCCGCUGGUUCGAUCCCUGCCAUAAGAA